CCUACGGGUGGCAGCAGUGAGGAAUAUUGGUCAAUGGGAGAGAUCCUGAACCAGCCAAGCCGCGUGAGGGAAGACGGCCCUAUGGGUUGUAAACCUCUUUUGUCGGAGAACAAAACCCGGGACGAGUCCCGGACUGCGUGUAUCCGAAGAAAAAGCAUCGGCUAACUCCGUGCCAGCAGCCGCGGUAAUAAGGAGGAUUCGAGCGUUAUCCGGUUUUGUUGGGUUUAAGGGGUGCGUGGGCGGUCUGUUAAGUCAGCGGGAAAAUUGCGGGGCUCAACCCCGUCGAGCAGUUGAAACUGGCAGACUUGAGUUGACGAGAGGUAGGCGGAAUGCGCGGUGUAGCGGUGAAAUGCAUAGAUAUCGCGCAGAACUCC
This 374-nucleotide ribosomal RNA is filed under the name uncultured bacterium. RNAcentral's name for it is "partial 16S ribosomal RNA". It matches the Rfam family "Bacterial small subunit ribosomal RNA", at positions 338 to 710 of the family's 1533-position model. The record is from RNAcentral.